Molecule: small RNA, 132 nt
Filed under: Escherichia coli
Lineage: Bacteria; Pseudomonadati; Pseudomonadota; Gammaproteobacteria; Enterobacterales; Enterobacteriaceae
Description: RtT sRNA
Rfam family: RtT RNA
About the family: This family represents a bacterial cis-regulatory element known as RtT RNA.
Source: RNAcentral
AUUCUGCCCAAGCGGGGAAGAAUGAGAAGCUUCGACCAAGGUUCGACUUGAGCGCCAGCGAGAGAGCGUUGCCGCAGGCAACGACCCGAGGGGCGAAGCGCGCAGCGCUGAGUAAUCCUUCCCCCACCACCA